GACGAACGCUGGCGGCGUGCUUAACACAUGCAAGUCGAACGGAAAGGCCCUGCUUUUGUGGGGUGCUCGAGUGGCGAACGGGUGAGUAACACGUGAGUAACCUGCCCUUGACUUUGGGAUAACUUCAGGAAACUGGGGCUAAUACCGGAUAGGAGCUCCUGCUGCAUGGUGGGGGGUGGAAAGUUUCGGCGGUUGGGGAUGGACUCGCGGCUUAUCAGCUUGUUGGUGGGGUAGUGGCUUACCAAGGCUUUGACGGGUAGCCCGCCUGAGAGGGUGAACGGGCACAUUGGGACUGCGAUAGGGCCCAGACUCCUACGUGAGGCAGCAGUGGGGAAUAUUGCACAAUGGGCGGAAGCCUGAUGCAGAAACGCCGCGUUCGGGAUGACGGCUUUCGGGUUAUAAACCGCUUUCGCCUGUGACGAAGCGUUAGUGACGGUAAUGGGUAAAGAAGCACCGGCUAACUACGUG
This 468-nucleotide ribosomal RNA is filed under the name uncultured bacterium. Its description in RNAcentral is "partial 16S ribosomal RNA". It matches the Rfam family "Bacterial small subunit ribosomal RNA", at positions 28 to 507 of the family's 1533-position model. The record is from RNAcentral.